CCUACAAAAAUCUACAAGCUAUCUAGCAAGGAACUUUGUAAGUGCUUGGCUUUGACUCAGUUAUUUUUACUGACUAAAUUAUUCUGGAUUGAAGGAUGGCAUCUUUGUUUUAGCACGAUAAAUAGAAAUUUCUUAUAUUGCUAUGAAUGAGCUUAAUGUUGGGUAUAUUUGUACCUUGUGGAAGUUAAAUUAGUACUGCAUAGCACAUGGAAGACUGUUAAAUGGUUAAUAGUUUUUACCACCGGUAACUAUCACUCCCAUCGACAGCUGGAUCUCUAGGAAACUUUUGUAUUUGCUAGCAACUGGAGACAAGGGAAUUAAAUGGAUCCUCGACAUGAAGGCUUGAUUCUCAUCUAUGGUGCACCGACACGGACACGUGUGCCGAUACGAUACGUUUCGGAUACGUCGACUCGUAAUUUUUCAAAAAAGUACCGACACGACAUGUCGUCGACACGUUCAUUAAAUUCUAUAAAAUUCUUCAUUUAUAUAGUUUAAAUCUAGUUUUAUACUUAUUAUUGAUUUUUUUUUUUUGUUGAAAUCUUUUAAAUAUUAGUAUUUAUUUGUUAUUUAUUAAUAACUUUGAGUUAAAAAUAUAUAAUAACUACAGUAAGAAAGAAAAAUAAUUAUUGUAGAGUGUCCGAAGAGUGUCGGUAUCCACACGUGUCUAACACGUGUCGGACACAGACACGCUACCCUAGUUAGAGUGUCCUUGCUACAUAGAUUCUCAUAGUUGUGUUUCUUAAAAAUAUUGACAUGGAUAAAAAAGCACAAGAGAAAUGUAGAACUGUUUUAUCCCUGUAGGUUUAUUGGAGAUAAAAUGAAAGUAAACACAAGAAAAGAAAAUUUCUCAGAUGAAAAUCUAUAACAAACAUAACUGGAUAAUGACUUGUAUUUACACUUUAAACCCUAGUCGCAGACACUACUAGCCCCUACCGUGGAAUAUAAUAAAGUGAUGUAUUUAUCAACAUUCUAAUUCAAUCUUUCACUCAAAAUUUAUGGUAAUGAUACUAUAAAAGGAGUGUCAGUAAUGAACCUAAGAGAUGAAAAUCAUGCUGUUUCUGAAUAAAAUGUCCAGAAUCAGGAUUUUGCUGAUUAUGAAAAUGAAACAGUUACAAUAUUUUACAGUUAGCGAUACGAUUAAUGCUAAUUGCUAAAACUGUCAGAUAUUCAAUUUAAAAGAAUAUAGAAAUAACUUAUUUUAUGAUAUUUCUGAGUAGUUGUUACAAUAUAUAUGCCAUUUCUUUUCACCAUUCUGAUCAUACAUACGUGUCUUCCUCUGCAGAUGUGGGCCUCAUCCUGUAACUCUUUCAACAAUAUUCCUUAUGAGUUACUAUGUUCGGUUAUAAAGGAUCCUGAAUUGACUGUAGACAGGUUAUAAAUUUUUUAUUAUAAUCCCAGUGCAUUUUAUGUAAUGUCCACUUCCACACUAAUUACAGAUUUCUUUAAUCAGUGAGAAGCAUCUUUGUGAAGCCAUUUUAGUUUGGCUUGAUGCGAAUGUAACUCAAUCAGAGGGCUGGAGUGAUGAAGAAGUAAGUCAUGCUGAUGUAUUAAAGCAGGUAUGACCUUAUGAGUGAGAGACUCUAAUACCUGAAGUCACACAUAAGGUUUCUGUUUGCGAGUGGAGGGAGAAGUUGGGGGUUGCGUGCAGUUGGGAAGGAGAAAGAGAAGAUAUAUCUAGUUGUUAUCACCACAUAAAAGUUGUAAACAAGGAUGAAUAUAUCUAAGAUGAUUUAAUUCCGAUGAAUGGGUAUACAGGUUUCAUGUAUCCACUGUAUUCUUCUGUACAGAGCCAUUCUGUCAGAGAUCCUGAAAAUUUGCUGCCAGUUGGUCAACACAUUAUUCAUAAAACACUCAAAUUGGGGUAAGAUGACUGCUGUUAUAGUUUAUGUGGAUGACAUUGUUGUGAUAGGUAAUGAUCUAGAAGAAAUUGAGAAAUUGAAAUUGAAAGAGAGAUUGGCAAAUUUAUACGAGAAAAAAGACUUGGGAAACUUUAUUAUUUCUGGGAAUUGAAGUUGCUCAAUCAAGAGAAGAAUUGUGAUUUUGCAGAAAAACAUAUUGGAUCUCCUCAAAGAAACUCGAAUGUCGGGGUGCAGACCCUUUGACACUCCAGUCGAAGUUGGAGACAAACUUGAUGAACUGAUAGUGUCCCAGUAGAGAAGGGAAGUAUCAACAUAUAGUAGGAAAAUUAAUCUAUUUAUCACAAAUUGGACUUGACAUAGUCUAGCCUUAUGAGUCAGUUAUGCAUAAUUCGAAGGAGAUAACAUGGAAACAUUGAUGAGGGUGCUUAGAUAUUUGAAGCUAACUCCAGGUAAAGGUAUUUUAUUUAACAAAAAAGCAAGAGUAAAAGUUAUUGUACCUUUUGUGGGGGAAAUUUGCUGACCUGGAGUAAAAAUUAGCCUGUUGUUUCUAGCUCUAGUGCAAAGGCUGAAUUCCAGGCUAUGGCACACGAGGUAUGUGAAUUCCUGUGGAUAAUAAUAAUAAUAAUAUUUGAUGACCUCAAAGUGGGCUGGGAAGGUCCAAUAAGACUCUAUGAUAACAAGUCAGCUAUUAGCAACGCUCAAAACCCUGUUCAGCAUUAUCAAUCUAAACACGUUGAAAUCGAUCACCACUUAAUCAAAGAAAAGUUAUACAGUGGUGUGGUUUGUACUUCUUACACAUCUAUUAAAAGACAAUUGGUCGACCUUCUAACAAAAGGACUUACAACUCUACCUUUUCACUCAAUUGCUGCCAAGCGGGGAAUGAAGAACAUCUCAGCUUGAGGAGGGGUGUAGGGAAAUCUAGAAAAUAUCAUGCAUUAUUUGCUGCCCUGAUAUUUUUUUUAUACCUUUUUUAUUUACAGCCUGUAUUCUUGGUAGAUUGUGAUUUAUUCAUAGCUGUAGAUCCCUAAAAUAUCUCUAGGCUAGAAAUAGGAUAUUUCCCUUUUCCAUGUUUUCUUUUUGUGUAAACAACUAUAUAUAUGCCUUGUGAAGUUAAGUCUGGCAUAUGAUUGAAAUAUUAACAUUCUACAAAAUAAUAUGAAGACAAACUACCACUAAUAUUAGAAUAAGCUUUGAUUGGAUUUAGGUUUACAAAUUCUAUCAGAUUGGAAGGAAGUGAGCUAGAAUUAUAGAUUAUAGAUUCUUCAGGAGAUCUUGUUCGUAAAUAAUGAAGAAGUUAGCUCUUGAACUCUAUCUUGCAUUAGAUUAUCAAUGAAGUGAGCUAUGUCAUUGUAUUUCGUAUUUUAAAGCAGGGGGUCAACUUUGAGCCGCACUGGGGGGAGUUACUCUAAGUCGUCAUUCUUAUGAACCUUCUAAUGCCAAGGAGAACAUUACAAGAGAGCAUCAAUUAUUUGUUCUUCAAUGGUUUACAGGAGAUUAGCGUAUAUUUUCAUAUCAUUUGAAACUAAUUAUUGUUGAAAAAGUCUAGUUGCUGGUUGUGCAAACUAAACUUUUUUUUCUUACACUUUAUUUCUUUCUGAAAAUUCUCAAGAUUUUUAAAGAUAUUACUUGCAAUCUAAAUAUGUUACAUUAAAUCAGUAAUGUAAAGAUAUAUGUUACAUUCUGGUAUGGUUGGUUAUGUCUUAGCUUGAUGUUAUCAUACUUUGAAAGCUGAAGUUUCGCAAUAUUUCCUGGCCAUGAAAAGGAAAUUCUGUUUCUCCUGUUAGAACAGUCUACAUCAGAAGUAUGUGCUUUUCAGUUUCCUGAAUUUUGAAUCUUUGUGGUGGCUAUUGGAGCACAUUGAUUUCUGUCCAUAAACCAGCUAUGUAGCAUGAAAAGCAAUCAACUAGAUAAUUGAUGAGUAUCACUAGAAAUGGAUACUAUACCUAUGCCAACAUAAUGACACUGGAGUGAAGGUUGGGUUUCCUUAUUGUUUUUGUUCUCUGAAGGGUGAGAGCGGUGUUGUGUCUAUAGAUAUUUGAUAGUCAUUGCAUGGUACAGCAGUCUAAAAAUUCACUGGAGCACCAUUAAAUAAUUUGUCUUUGGUUGAAACCUUCCAAAUUUCUUUCUUUUUAACAUUUUCAUGGUUUCUUGAACAGAUACGAACAUCACUUUUACCCUUGAAGUUUGUUGCUGGUGUGUUCUCUUCCGAUAUUUAUUUAAAGCCUUUCUGUAAUAAUUUAUUGAUGUGUCCUGUCUAUAACUUUCCAUAGAAACAUUUCUAUGCUGUAGGUAAACGAAAAUCCUGUUUCUUUUCAAAGUUUGCUGAUAAAGGCCUUCGUUCCAUCCCGAGUUUGACGAGACCUCUUUCAACAAUAUCAAAGAACGUAUUCAAAGAUGCAGACUUGAGUCAUCUUAGAAUCCGGCUUACAAAAUAUACUAAGGUUUUCCUUUCCCAUUACUUUAUCCCUGUUUUCUGUAAGCAUCCUGAGUGGAAUCUUGUGUUGUUAUCCUAUUCAAUUUUUGAUUGUGUGGUUCAUUGUAUUCAGAUUUUAUAUACACUUGUUAAUUGAUGUAUAGUUAGUGGUCUAUCUUGUACUUACCUGGGGGCCCUCUGAUGGCACUCCUUAUAUGGAACAGAUAUCAUAUAUGUGGUAGUGAGAUGGGUGACAAAUAAACACGACAUUUGUGGUUUUAUGCAGCGGUUAUUAGACCAGUUGUACUUUAUGGAACUGACUGUUGUGCAACUAAAAGAUAAUUUUCACGAGUAUUAGAGUCUGUUUCCGGAUAAUUAGUUUAUUACCUUGUAUAGGCUAGCUAUCACACAAAAUCGGGAUUAAUUCCCAUUGUAUAUUUUCCUUAUAUAGCUUUGUACCAUCCUAUAAAUUAAAAGGCAAUACACAAUAGAGAGGAUUCAGCAAAAUCUGUCAAUGAGAUGAAUGAAAUACAAAUGAUGAUGUGAGAAGGAUGUGUGGCUAUAUUAGAAUAAAUAAAAAAAGAAAUAAUGGUAUGGUCCAACAAAGGAGGUAGGGCUAAUUGAAAACAAAGUAAAUAAGUAAUGGAAUAACGACUUAGAUGGUUGGGCAUGUUUAUGUUUAGUAUAAGCCUAAAUAAGUCUUCAUUUACAAAAGUAAUUCAGUUUGUGUAGAAUGUGCUAGAAGAGGGAGCCAUAGACCAAAAUUAACUCGGACUAAUAUGAAAGAUUUGAUAUCAUUGAGCCUUAGACCAAAAUUAACUUGAACUAAUAUGAAAGAUUUGAUUUUAUUAGACCUCUUAUAAGAUGCAUUGCUGGAUCAAAUAGUGACAAAAUGAUUCGCGUAUUGACACAAGGUAGUUGGAAAUAAGACCUCUUCUAGCUUCCUGAUGUCCUUUUACUCAUUUCUCUUCUGUAAGCUGCCUUUAUACAAUUCUGGGGACCUUAAUGUUGAUCUCUUCUCGUUGGUGUCUUGGAGAUACUAUGGAGUAAGCUUAUCAAGACCUGUUUUGCAACCGGCUUUAGGAAUAUGCUCAUGCAAGAUUCUUUCUCCCAAAUCAGUGGCAUUUGAAAGCCAAAGGGUUGAUAGAUUCUUGUGGAGUUUUAAAGAGUGGUGUUCAUGUCAUUUAUUUCUUGGAGAUGCUUUUUUCAGGAACGGGUGAUUGAUUUUUGACCUUUCUGAAUUAGAAUAGUUUCCUGAAAUGUUUGCUCUCAUAACAUGAUCUCCCUGUGAUAUGGUUUGGUUAGUGGAUCUUAAUCUUACUAGUCCGUGUUGUCAAUUGUGAGGAACGUAUUCACCAUGGGACAUUCAUGAAUACUUCAAUCUCCUAGUGAUAUUGUUUGAUGGCUGACUCCAAAUGCAUGCAGUGAAGUUAGGCUAGUAUUUUAGUUUCUCACAAAUUUCCUCAAGGUCCACCGUGGAAUUUGUAAUGCACAUGCUUUAUGUUUUACAGGUCAUUUUAGUCCAUGAAGCACAAGGUUAUAUAGCUUAGGUGGUUUGGUCUGCUUAAAACGGGAUUUUAGCCUUGGGAGACAUCAAUUGAACAUGAAUUCUAUCUACUUCCAGUUAUGUUUGUUGUGUUUAAUGCGCUUUUUUGGGGGGGGCGGGGGGGAGGGGUUGAAACUUGCAUUGUUUAGGACAAUGGAUGCCGCUGUAUGAAGUUUUGGAUUAAAUAGUUCGUUUCACUUUAAGAGAGCAGUUAUCUGACUCUAAUUGAAUUUCCUGAACCACUAGAAUAGUGUAGUAACAUGUUCAUAUUUCCAUUACUUGCUAGAAGUUUAUGGACAGAAUGGUGUCAGCUUAAUCAUUUUUUGGGUGUUUGCUAUUGAUUUGAAGGAAAUUUGGUUAAAGACGCUUGUUUAAGAAAGUACGUCUUUGUUGUACUCACAAAUUAGCCUGGAACUUAGCAUUCAUAAGUUACACUGAUAAUUAAAAGAGAGAAAUACUCACUGAUGCAUUUGAUGUGUGCAUUUUUCAUGUAAUGCACAAAUUGAUCACAAGUGUUAAAAAUUUAAUGUAAAUGCAUAGAGCCAGCACAUUCAAGUAGUCUUGCAGUGCUAAAUUAGAUAAAAAAUAUCCGUAUUGAUUUUCUGAAAUUUUACUUUUUGAAGCACGUGCUUCUAAACUAUUCUUCCCCAUUAAUUUGUGCAGAGAGUGGAUCUUUCCAGCUGCCCACAGUUCACACCAUCACUUGUUCUCCUGUCGAUGCUUCCUUUUUCAUGCUAUGCAGGUCACAUGCUAGAAAAGAGCAUUAAGGAAUCUUUAAUUAACCGUGUGCGUCUAAAAGAGGACGCCUUUCACGUAUCACAAGCAUUGGGGCUAAUGUUGACUUUUAUUGAAGUAGAAGAGGUGGAUAUUUCAAAUUGUCCAAUGCUACAUCUUGAGGCUGCCAUUGAGUGCUUCUGCAAGUUCCCAUCAUUAAGAAAAUUAAAGGCAGCUUACUCUUUAGACUUCAAAACAAAGAUGAUGUGUCAAUUGGUACAAAAGUGCCCACUACUCUCUGACAUUGACCUAACUGUGGAUGUUACUCCUGUUAUACCUGGACGCGUGUCAAUUGUAUCUUCCUGGCCGGCCUUGCCACAAAGAUCUACAACAUAUUUCAACCUUGAUAAUUGUUAUUCUGCUGCCUCUUUUUCAUAUAUGUCGAGGCCAUUCCUCUCAAAUAUCACGAAACUCACGUUGGAAGGCCGAACCGACAUCAGAGGUAACUCUUUUUUUGAGGGGGGGGGGGGGGGGACAGGGAGAGAGAGAGAGAGAGAGAGAGAGAGAGUGUGUGUUCCCUCCACACUGCAGUCCCACCCCAAAGAACAAUGAACCAUGAUGCAUAUUUGUAUGUAUACAUAUAGGUGUAUCCUAGUCUCCUUUGCAUCCGAUGUCAUUAUUUUCACCUUUUUGGAAAUUCUUUUGGUUGCUUAAAAAUUAAGACAUUCAAUUUCAAUACAUAAAAGAAUUGGAUCUUAAGAGAUUCUCAUGCAAAGGGUGCCAGCUAGGAUUAUUUUGCUUUGAUCAAGAGUGUGUGUACCUACUACCCACCAUUCAUUGAACAUUAACUAGGUAGAUGGUCGUAGAUGUGGCUUGCUGCAUAUUUUUAGGUUGGAAAUCAUCUGUUACCGAACUGUUGAUGUAAGGGAAGAAGUCUGUUUGCUGUUUUCUUUCAUCUAUGCACUUCAAUGUGUAGCAUGUCCUCCACAGGUGUAAAUCAACAAAAUGAAAGAGAAAAAUGCAUAGACAAUAUAACAAGGAUGCGUCUUGUAAGUUCUUUCAGAAUAUCAAACAUAGGAGAUUGCAUUGCUAAAAAGCUCGUUUUCAAAUAGCAAAGAUAACUAAUGCUACUAUGGCAAUUGUAGUUGUGGAAAAAAGAAGCAAGUGGUGUUAUGGAAAUAUGUUAAUAUACGAAAGGUCAUACAGAAUUUUAACAUGGUAAAGAUUGGGCCUUCUUUGAUUAUAUAAGCUAAAACAAUAUUUAAAAAAUGUUUUGAGGCUGCACCUGGAGUCCUGCCUAACAUGAGGCUCUCUUUAAAAGCAUCAAAGCUCAUGCCUUGACUUAGUGAGGCUUACGCCUUAAGAAAAGCACCAUGCAACUUCAUAGUUGAAAACCUUUCAGAUGGCAGGAUCAAAGCCAAUCUUACAAGCAUACCAAUGGACAUAUAAUCCCUUUGCUGCUAACUUCCAAGCUAAUUCCACUAAUUCCUUUCGUUUCGAAAAACUCCUCAUCCAACAAAAGCAAAUUUAGUUCUCAAAUUGAUUAUCAAGUGCUAAGAGAUCCACUAUAGAACAGGCUGACGGAUAAAACUUAACCAAAUAAAACUGUUCGUCGAAAGAGUAAAAUCAAUUGUUUGGACUUGAGUAAGCUACAAAAAUAAGUAACUCCAUAUUCACCAUUGUAAAAUGAUUAUCAAGUUCUUGAAGUUGCAUCUCCACAAUCUGUUGAAUGUUUCUACAGGAUAACGGUUUAAAUUUUUGGUUUGUGCUAUAUAUCGUGCCUUAGGCUUUAAAGAUAUGAUCCAUGUUGGGAAUAGGAUGCUCUAUUUCUUCUUAUUAUCUGCAAUCUUUAUUGGCAUAUUUUAAGUAAUAGCAUUUAUGUAUCUUGAUCUUUUGCUAGCAAGAGCUUUUACAACUCAUUAUUACGCCUUAUUUUUAUCAGUAUAUGGGGGCUUCUAUGCGUUUCUUUUAAUUGGCCGGCCUUGUAAAAUUGAACUAUUUUUUGUUGGUUCAACAGAUUCUGAUCUCCAUGACAUCUCAGAGUUCUGUGCUUCCUUGUGCUACCUUAACCUUAACGGGUGUACUUCAUUGACGGACAAUGGUUUAUCAGUAAUAAUUCUGAAAUGUAAAAAACUACACUCAGUUUUGGUGUGUGAUACUUCUUUUGGGAAUAAUUCAAUUCUGGCACUUUGCUAUGGGAUUUCUGUUGCGGAAUCCAAAAGAGGAAACUACUCUCACACGACGGCUUCGAAGUGUCAAACCCUGCAUAUUGGUGGCUGCAAUGGUGAGCAACAUUUCCUUUGUCCACUCUCACCCUCUUUUAUUUUCAGUAUUCCAGGAAAGUAAAGAGAAAUUCAAUUUUCAAAAGUUUUUUAUGUCAGUAUGUGUCAGAAGUUUUUCUGAUGGAAAUGUGUUUUUUUUAUAAAGUCUUUCAUAAUAUCAGAGUGAGCAUGAUUUUAUAUUUGGUUCACUUGAGUAUUUUUGAGACUUUUUCCUCAUUUGAGUAUAAUCUCAAUUGAUGUGUCUGCCAGUAUCUUUGAUGGUAUACACAAUCAAAUAUGUAUAGCUAACAGCUGGAAUACAUUAUAGUACACACGCAUCAAAUAUGUUUAACUUAAUCUUGUGAAUGUCAUAUAUACAAUUUAUUCUCAACACUAUCCACUUCUUCCCUUCUUUGGCAGGGAUAAAUGAAACAGCUUUGUCAGAGCUUCUCUCUGGAGCAAAUAAUUUGACGAGUCUGUGUUUGCGGGAGAUUCAACUUGAUGACAAUGCUCUUUAUUGUUUUUCAGGAUCCUCCUUGGAGAUGCUUGAUAUUUCUGAUACAAAGGUGCAGAGGCAGUCUAAAGGGAAAUUUUGUUUGUUUCUAGAAAGGAUUCCUCUAAAACCAUUCACUUUUUAUCAUGGAAUUCAUAUAAAUCACUUUACCUAAGAUCUCUUAUGAAUGCGGCAACUGGAAACUUGAACUGAACAUUGCAUAUAGAGUUUGAACUUCUGUUUUCACAACCUGCUUUCACCCGUCAAACCUAAGUCUGAAUAUCUGAAAAUCUUUAAAGCUUUUUGGGCUAGGCUAACUGAAAAACUGGGCUGCUAGAUCUUGUUUUUUGGAAGUUGACAGUUAACCUUUCAAAAGAUAUGUAUAUUUGUCAGAUACAUAAUUUUUCUGCAUGAGUUGCAAGAACUUCACGGUGGUUCAUUAGUUUCAUAUCAAUACCCAUCUGGAAUUGCAUGCAUCUGUCAAUUUCUUGAUGCCAUCUCUUUUAAGAGAGUACCCGUG
This 9806-nucleotide long non-coding RNA is filed under the name Olea europaea subsp. europaea. The record is from RNAcentral. Lineage: Eukaryota; Viridiplantae; Streptophyta; Magnoliopsida; Lamiales; Oleaceae.